This 253-nucleotide ribosomal RNA is filed under the name uncultured prokaryote. RNAcentral's name for it is "partial 16S ribosomal RNA". It matches the Rfam family "Bacterial small subunit ribosomal RNA", at positions 525 to 777 of the family's 1533-position model. The record is from RNAcentral.
ACGAAGGGGGCAAGCGUUGUUCGGAAUUACUGGGCGUAAAGGGCGCGUAGGCGGCUUGCCAAGUCAGGCGUGAAAUUCCCGGGCUCAACCUGGGGGCUGCGCUUGAUACUGGCUGGCUUGAAUGCGGGAGAGGAUAGUGGAAUUCCCAGUGUAGAGGUGAAAUUCGUAGAUAUUCGUAAGAACACCAGUGGCGAAGGCGACUUUCUGGCUCGAUACUGACGCUAAGGCGCGAAAGCGUGGGGAGCAAACAGGA